This 76-nucleotide transfer RNA is filed under the name Candidatus Termititenax aidoneus. RNAcentral describes it as "tRNA-Met". It matches the Rfam family "tRNA". Rfam says of the family: Transfer RNA (tRNA) molecules are approximately 80 nucleotides in length. Their secondary structure includes four short double-helical elements and three loops (D, anti-codon, and T loops). Lineage: Bacteria; Bacillati; Candidatus Margulisiibacteriota; Candidatus Termititenacia; Candidatus Termititenacales; Candidatus Termititenacaceae. The record is from RNAcentral.
GCGCGUAUAGCUCAACCGGCAGAGCAGACGGCUCAUAAUCGUUCGGUUGCAGGUUCAAAUCCUGCUACGCGCACCA